Molecule: small nucleolar RNA, 357 nt
Filed under: Niveomyces insectorum RCEF 264
Lineage: Eukaryota; Fungi; Ascomycota; Sordariomycetes; Hypocreales; Cordycipitaceae
Description: Sporothrix insectorum RCEF 264 Fungal small nucleolar RNA U3
Rfam family: Fungal small nucleolar RNA U3
About the family: Small nucleolar RNAs (snoRNAs) are involved in the processing and modification of rRNA in the nucleolus.
Source: Rfam by way of RNAcentral
GUCGACAAUACUUCAGAGAAUCAUUUCUAUAGUAAUUGUCCUCUUCCCGGUUCUUUAAACGAGCCACAGAUCCCACCCGGGUUGAUGACUUUUUAUAUCCUCGGCUUACCCAAUUUCUUUGCGAAGAAAAAACAAGAACCAUCUUGGUGGCCCCUUUUUUUGACCCUCGACACUGCCUGCAAAGGCGGCGGGGACCUUGGAAGCCGAGCGGAAGGACGGAGUUUCCGUUCUUUUCAGCACGGUUUCCUUGGACCCUGUAUUCUAGAGGGUGGUGAUGAGCUAUGCCCUGGACUGGAGGUCUUGUCUCCAUUUUUGGAGCGCUCUGCCAGGGCGGGUGUCGAUGGACGUCUGACCGGU